Mytilus californianus (California mussel) is the source of this 532-nucleotide long non-coding RNA. RefSeq lists it as uncharacterized. NCBI's taxonomy places the organism in Eukaryota, Metazoa, Mollusca, Bivalvia, Mytilida, Mytilidae. The record is from RefSeq and is a predicted model, not a curated record. The transcript has 3 exons.
CCGAUUUUUUUAUUCUUGGAGGUUGUUGUGGACAAUCAAAGCACUAUACAACUCAUCUGUUAGACAAGGUUUAUCUUUGUACAAAGGACACAACCACCACCUUGAAUUUAUCCACAGCACUGAGGGCAGUGAGGCCUGUUUAUCAAACUUUUCACAUGUUCCAGGAGGACUAUUUUAUACACAUAAGUGACAUUGUUUUCUGUUGAUCGUGCUGCUAUAAAAUUGUCAAUAUGUCCAUGCCGAUGGCACAGAGACUUUUUUUGGGAUAUAUUGGCGGGACUAUUCAACAAAGUGUGGAUUCAAAGAUCGUCCUGCUAACAUUAAGGCAAAACUCCAAAAGGCGAAAAGCUGAUAGUGAUGGAGGAACCACACUAACCCUAUCAUAGGAAUACUGACUUUUGUAAUGACAACUAAUUCCAAAAGGGUCAGGUCUCUGCAAGCAGUGUUUUACCAAGAUUAGACAAACAGUAGCUGAUGGAGGAAUCAUAGUUGAUACAAAAAAGAUUAUGAUGGAGAUGAAAGCCAAAUUAAA